GGGGCAGUCUGGAGGAUGUUAAUGGAUGCAUCCUACCUUAUAAAAGCCAAAUUGGGCAAUCUUCUCCUCAGUCGUGCGAUAGCUGUUCCCUCCCACCUCACCCUUGGAAUAUGAUGUCAGCACCACCUGGUUGGGAACUUCUCUCCCGGCGAUCGGAGCCCGCAUCACGGCUCACCCUAUUGCAGUCGUUUGAAUUCCCUGCAUGGGCUUGUCUGGGCAACACUAACCAGCCCACCCCUCCCCACAUUUUACUUAACGCCUCUCACGAUCGUCGUAGGUCCUGCCAAAUGUCACCCCUCCGUAAACAAGUCGUUGUCAUCGAUUCAACCGGACCGACCAGGCGUAUCGCAUCUCCGUAUAUGUGUAGGGUUCGACCUAUCCCACCGGUUCCAACCCCUUUCUUGCCCCGUUGUCCCACUAUAACCUUUGCCUUUUCCCGAUCGCUGCACAUUUUAUACACUUCCAACUAGUCACAGAGCGGAGUUUUAUAGAUCAUCGCUCAUCUCCACUUCUUUUGGAAGUGUGACUGUAGAAUCAAGAGAAGUGUUGUUCUCGACACUCGAGAACAGUUCAUAAAUAAAAGUAACUCGGUUAUGUAGUUGAAUACCAAAGUGUUUACAUGGCCAUAAAGGACUAAAAACGCCAAUGCUUGAGCUACGGUCAUGGCCUCGAUCGAAUUGCCUCUUCAACGUUAUACUAAUCCCCUCCCCCAAUAAAUUCGCCAGAUCAGUGUAACGUGUUACAGGGUAUACGAAGCCAGAUUGCUAACUACAAAAGUUGUUAUGUUUU
Non-coding RNA from Paramuricea clavata, 789 nucleotides. Lineage: Eukaryota; Metazoa; Cnidaria; Anthozoa; Malacalcyonacea; Plexauridae. The record is from the annotation of a GenBank genome assembly.